GUUGCCAGUCGUCAACAUUCAUUCGUCCAGUUACAGAGAUGGUGCUGCUACUAUCCAAUGACAUUGAUGUAUAGCUUGUAAUUGUAUAUGUGAUGUUAGAAACAUCAGACGGGGAGUGUGCUGUCACAGUUCUUAUUUUUUAUUUAUUUUUGUUUGCUUUUUUGUGUAAUUAUACGGAGUGAAAUAUGUGUAUUAUUCAGAUAUCAGAAAGAGUUAUCCUUCUUUGUAAAUUUUUGAAUUAUCUUCCUUGAGUGGAAAUCUUUUGUGUCAGGAGUUAUCUCCCUCAUUUUCUCGUGCAAGUUUUCAUUCAGUCUGCCAUUAGAGUUCCAUCCAUGAGGAUGUACAUGUAACAUUCUACCUUCUUACGAUUUGUGGCCUAUUACCAUUUAUUUACCUCAUUCGCUCACUCGCUCAUUCGCUUACUCGCUCGUGUAGACUCACUCGCUCACUUAGGCUCACUCACAUAGGCUCACUUUGUCUCACUCACCUAGGCUCAUUCGCUCAUUCACUGAUUGGAAUAUGAAUUCGCUUGUUAAUAAAUAUGGAACCAGU
Saccostrea echinata is the source of this 552-nucleotide long non-coding RNA. RefSeq lists it as uncharacterized. The transcript is spliced from 2 exons. Lineage: Eukaryota; Metazoa; Mollusca; Bivalvia; Ostreida; Ostreidae. The record is from RefSeq and is a predicted model, not a curated record.